CACGUAGGGUGCGAGCGUUGUCCGGAAUUAUUGGGCGUAAAGAGCUCGUAGGCGGUGUGUCGCGUCGGCCGUGAAAACCUGCAGCUUAACUGUGGGCUUGCGGUCGAUACGGGCAUCACUGGAGUUCGGCAGGGGAGACUGGAAUUCCUGGUGUAGCGGUGAAAUGCGCAGAUAUCAGGAGGAACACCGGUGGCGAAGGCGGCUCUCUGGGACGGUACUGACGCUGAGACGCGAAAGCGUGGGGAGCAAACAGG
This 254-nucleotide ribosomal RNA is filed under the name uncultured bacterium. RNAcentral's name for it is "partial 16S ribosomal RNA". It matches the Rfam family "Bacterial small subunit ribosomal RNA", at positions 524 to 776 of the family's 1533-position model. The record is from RNAcentral.